CGAGGUGCAGGUGCUCGGCGAGUUCGUCGGACGAUGCCCGACGGUGCCGGUGGUCGGCGUCCCGUCGCUGCCGUUCGAGGUGGCGAACCUCGA
RNAcentral lists this transfer RNA (93 nucleotides) under Tsukamurella pulmonis. RNAcentral describes it as "tRNA-Ile(gat)". The record is from RNAcentral. Lineage: Bacteria; Bacillati; Actinomycetota; Actinomycetes; Mycobacteriales; Tsukamurellaceae.